AGAUAUGAUCCAGAGUACCACGGGACACGUGAAACCCUGUGGGAAGCAGGAGGGACCACCCUCCAAGGCUAAAUACUACCUAGUGACCGAUAGCGUAUAGUACCGUGAGGGAAAGGUGAAAAGAACCCCGGGAGGGGAGUGAAAUAGAACCUGAAACCCUGCACUUACAAGCUGUGGAAGCACAUUUCUUGUGUGACCGCGUACUUUUUGUAGAACGGGCCAACGAGUUACGUUAAGUAGCAAGGUUAAGCACUUAAGGUG
Molecule: ribosomal RNA, 261 nt
Filed under: Clostridioides difficile
Lineage: Bacteria; Bacillati; Bacillota; Clostridia; Peptostreptococcales; Peptostreptococcaceae
Description: partial 23S ribosomal RNA
Rfam family: Bacterial large subunit ribosomal RNA
Source: RNAcentral